UUAUAUUACAAAAAGUAUUUACAAGCUCACAUCUCGUCAUUUUCUCACUCUUAAAAUUUUACUCUCCCUUAUCUCUAAAACUUCAGCCGCCGCCUGCGUUUAGGGUUACCGGUUCCGGUGGCUUUCUCAGCACCGGAACCGAAGUCUUUUGUUUUGCUCUUAUUCUAUCUUUUUUCUUUAGACACAUCUGAGAGAUUUUUUUCCAACGGUUGUGAAUCUGAAUUUUCAGAUCUAGAUAUUUAAAGUCUAAAACUUUUUCUUUUUAGACUUUGUAUAUUUCGUUUGAACUCUUGGAUUUUGGGUCUGGGAAGUACUUGAUCAGAUGUGAUGUAAUUUGUUAGAUCGGUUUUUUUCCCCUUUGUUUCAUUUAAAUAUGUUUUUAGUUCCUGGAAGGUCCCAUGUACUCUCCGGCUUUUAGAAGAGUGUUUCUCUUGUCAGCUCUUGUACUCAGAUCUUCUAUCAAUGAAAUCUAUAUUUCCAGUGAAAAAAAAAAUAGUUAUAGAUAGAUGUUGGUCUGAGACUCUCCGACUCAU
This 533-nucleotide small RNA is filed under the name Arabidopsis thaliana (thale cress). RNAcentral describes it as "[] (AT2G01422)". The record is from RNAcentral. Lineage: Eukaryota; Viridiplantae; Streptophyta; Magnoliopsida; Brassicales; Brassicaceae.